GUGCUUGCUUUGGCAAUACAUAUACUAAAAUUGAAACAAUACAGAGAAGAUUAGCAUGGCCCCUGUGCAAGGAUGACAUGCAAAUUCAUAAAGCGUUCCAUAUUUUU
Callithrix jacchus (white-tufted-ear marmoset) is the source of this 107-nucleotide small nuclear RNA. The record is from Ensembl. Lineage: Eukaryota; Metazoa; Chordata; Mammalia; Primates; Cebidae.